AUUACAGGAGGCCAAGGUUCAGAGUCAUUAAGCAGUUUCACCCAAGAUCACAAAGACAAGAAGUGGCUUUUGGAAUCUGAAGUGGGAUUUGAACAUAGGAUCUUUGACCCUAAGGUGAGUGUUUAUUCGAUUUGGUUCUCUGGUCCCAGAUCCUUCCAUUCCAGUCCGGAUAGUUUUGGGAA
Molecule: long non-coding RNA, 182 nt
Filed under: Callithrix jacchus (white-tufted-ear marmoset)
Lineage: Eukaryota; Metazoa; Chordata; Mammalia; Primates; Cebidae
Description: lncRNA (ENSCJAG00000075134.1)
Source: RNAcentral